CAGCAAUGCGUGGCAUACGGCUCAGUAACACGUAGUCAACAUGCCCAGGGGACGUGGAUAACCUCGGGAAACUGAGGAUAAACCGCGAUAGGCCAAGGUUUCUGGAAUGGACACUGGCUGAAACCUAUAUGGCCCCUGGAUUGGACUGCGGCCGAUCAGGCUGUUGGUGAGGUAAUGGCCCACCAAACCUGUAACCGGUACGGGCUUUGAGAGAAGGAGCCCGGAGAUGGGCACUGAGACAAGGGCCCAGGCCCUAUGGGGCGCAGCAGGCGCGAAAAUUCUGCAAUAGGCGAAAGCUUGACAGAGUUACUCUGAGUGAUGCCCGCUAAGGGCAUCUUUUGGCACCUCUAAAAAUGGUGCAGAAUAAGGGGUGGGCAAGUCUGGUGUCAGCCGCCGCGGUAAUACCAGCACCCCGAGUGGUCGGGACGAUUAUUGGGCCUAAAGCAUCCGUAGCUUGUUCUGCAAGUCUUCCGUUAAAUCCACCUGCUCAACAGAUGGGCUGCGGGAGAUACUACAGGGCUAGGAGGCGGGAGAGGCAAGCGGUACUCAGUGGGUAGGGGUAAAAUCCUCUGAUCCACUGAAGACCACCAGUGGCGAAGGCGGCUUGCCAGAAUGCGCUCGACGGUGAGGGAUGAAAGCUGGGGGAGCAAGCCGGAUUAGAUACCCGGGUAGUCCCAGCUGUAAAC
This 686-nucleotide ribosomal RNA is filed under the name uncultured Nitrososphaerota archaeon. RNAcentral's name for it is "bacterial SSU rRNA". It matches the Rfam family "Archaeal small subunit ribosomal RNA", at positions 69 to 758 of the family's 1478-position model. The record is from RNAcentral. Lineage: Archaea; Thermoproteati; Nitrososphaerota.